UGCCAGCCGCCGCGGUAAUACGGAGGGUGCGAGCGUUAAUCGGAAUCACUGGGCGUAAAGCGCGUGUAGGCGGUUCGUUAAGUCUGAUGUGAAAGCCCGGGGCUCAACCCCGGAAGUGCAUUGGAAACUGGCGAACUUGAGUACGGGAGAGGAAAGUGGAAUUCCGAGUGUAGGGGUGAAAUCCGUAGAUAUUCGGAGGAACACCAGUGGCGAAGGCGGCUUUCUGGACCGAUACUGACGCUGAGAUGCGAAAGCGUGGGGAGCAAACAGGAUUAGAUA
RNAcentral lists this ribosomal RNA (279 nucleotides) under uncultured bacterium. RNAcentral's name for it is "partial 16S ribosomal RNA". It matches the Rfam family "Bacterial small subunit ribosomal RNA", at positions 506 to 784 of the family's 1533-position model. The record is from RNAcentral.